RNAcentral lists this small RNA (107 nucleotides) under Marmota monax (woodchuck). Lineage: Eukaryota; Metazoa; Chordata; Mammalia; Rodentia; Sciuridae. The record is from RNAcentral.
GCCAGGUGCAGUGGUGCAUGCCUGAAAUCCCAGUGACUUGGGAGGCUGAGGGAAGAGGAUCACAAGUUUGAGGCCAGCCUCAGAAGCUUAGUGAGACCCUGUCUCAA